RNAcentral lists this ribosomal RNA (451 nucleotides) under uncultured bacterium. Its description in RNAcentral is "bacterial SSU rRNA". It matches the Rfam family "Bacterial small subunit ribosomal RNA", at positions 354 to 796 of the family's 1533-position model. The record is from RNAcentral.
GUGAGGAAUCUUGCGCAAUGGGGGCAACCCUGACGCAGCAACGCCGCGUGAGUGAGGAAGGUCUUCGGAUUGUAAAGCUCUGUCGGAUGGAAAGAACCGCAUAGAGGUAAACAGCCUCUAUGUCUGACGGUACCAUCAAAGGAAGCACCGGCUAACUCCGUGCCAGCAGCCGCGGUAAUACGGGGGGUGCAAGCGUUGUUCGGAAUUAUUGGGCGUAAAGAGCGUGUAGGCGGCCGGAUGUGUCAGAUGUGAAAGCCCUGGGCUUAACUCAGGAAGUGCAUUUGAAACUGUCCGGCUGGAGUAGGGGAGAGGGAAGUGGAAUUCCUGGUGUAGAGGUGAAAUUCGUAGAUAUCAGGAGGAACACCGGUGGCGAAGGCGACUUCCUGGCCCUAUACUGACGCUGAGACGCGAGAGCGUGGGUAGCAAACAGGAUUAGAAACCCUUGUAGUCC